Molecule: ribosomal RNA, 274 nt
Filed under: uncultured bacterium
Lineage: Bacteria
Description: partial 16S ribosomal RNA
Rfam family: Bacterial small subunit ribosomal RNA
Source: RNAcentral
CUACGAAGGGGGCUAGCGUUGUUCGGAAUUACUGGGCGUAAAGCGCGCGUAGGCGGAUUGGUCAGUUAGGGGAGAAAUCCCAGGGCUUAACCCUGGAACUGCCUCUAAUACUGCCAGUCUUGAGUUCGGGAGAGGUGAGUGGAAUUCCUAGUGUAGAGGUGAAAUUCGUAGAUAUUAGGAAGAACACCAGUGGCGAAGGCGGCUCACUGGCCCGAUACUGACGCUGAGGCGCGAAAGCGUGGGGAGCAAACAGGAUUAGAUACCCUAGUAGUCC